GACGAACGCUGGCGGCGUGCUUAACACAUGCAAGUCGAACGAAGAGCGAUGGAAGCUUGCUUCUAUCAAUCUUAGUGGCGAACGGGUGAGUAACGCGUAAUCAACCUGCCCUUCAGAGGGGGACAACAGUUGGAAACGACUGCUAAUACCGCAUACGCUCUAACCUCGGCAUCGAGGAUGGAUGAAAGGUGGCCUCUAUUUAUAAGCUAUCACUGAAGGAGGGGAUUGCGUCUGAUUAGCUAGUUGGAGGGGUAACGGCCCACCCAGGCGAUGAUCAGUAGCCGGUCUGAGGGGAUGAACGGCCACAUUGGGACUGAGACACGGCCCAGACUUCUACGGGAGGCAGCAGUGGGGAAUCUUCCGCAAUGGACGAAAGUCUGACGGAGCAACGCCGCGUGAGUGAUGACGGCCUUCGGGUUGUAAAGCUCUGUUAAUCGGGACGAAAGGCCUUCUUGCGAAUAGUUAGAAGGAUUGACGGUACCGGAAGAGAAAGCCACGGCUAACUACGUG
RNAcentral lists this ribosomal RNA (510 nucleotides) under uncultured bacterium. RNAcentral describes it as "partial 16S ribosomal RNA". It matches the Rfam family "Bacterial small subunit ribosomal RNA", at positions 28 to 507 of the family's 1533-position model. The record is from RNAcentral.